UACAGAGGUGGCAAGCGUUGUUCGGAAUUACUGGGCGUAAAGGGCGCGUAGGCGGUCCCGUCAGUCCCUUGUGAAAUCCCCCGGCUCAACUGGGGAACUGCAAGGGAUACAGCGGGGCUUGAGUUCGGGAGAGGGAAGCGGAAUUCCGGGUGUAGCGGUGAAAUGCGUAGAUAUCAGGAGGAACACCGGUGGCGAAGGCGGGUCUCUGGGCCGAUAUUGACGCUGAGGAGCGAAAGCGUGGGGAGCGAACAGG
This 253-nucleotide ribosomal RNA is filed under the name uncultured bacterium. RNAcentral describes it as "partial 16S ribosomal RNA". It matches the Rfam family "Bacterial small subunit ribosomal RNA", at positions 524 to 776 of the family's 1533-position model. The record is from RNAcentral.